GGCUGAUACAGAGUUGUAAACUUGCAAUUGUAGUGACUACUUCAUGCCCAAUCUUCACCACCUCAAGUCAUUCUUGCAACAACAAGAAAUGGGACUUCGACUCUAAACAGCACUUGAGUGUGUGAGAUCAUACAUCCGAACGGGAGAGCAACGCUGGUAAAAUUAAUUUUUUUUAGAUAGAAGAAGACCAAGAGGAAUUUUAUGGGCCCCACAAAGCACAGUUCAGCGUCACGGUGUCGCACUUCAUUAUUGGAGUACCGGCGUGCGUAUGCGAUUACCCGCGGUU
This 286-nucleotide long non-coding RNA is filed under the name Elaeis guineensis (African oil palm). Its description in RNAcentral is "long non-coding RNA (EGUI_LNC051722)". Lineage: Eukaryota; Viridiplantae; Streptophyta; Magnoliopsida; Arecales; Arecaceae. The record is from RNAcentral.